GGGACUCGCUCCGGGCUCAGGAAUCAGCCGCCAGCUCGCGGUUCUCCCCCCGCGAUCCUCAGGAUGCCCCCCGGCAAGGGAUCAAAAUCAGCCUACAAAAUCUUUGUAACCAAAACAGAAGGAGGUGAAUCAUCUAAUUAAAGAACCAUUACGGUCGGAAAGACCUCUAAGAUCAUCUAAUGCAACCAGCCCAUCACCACUAUUGCUCACUGAGCACGUCCCUCAGUGCCGCACCCACAGUUCAAGAACACCUCCAGGGAUGGAGACUCCACCACCUCCCUGGGCAGCACAUUCCAAUACCUGAACAGUCCUUAGGAGAAGUUUUUCCUACUAUCCAACCUGAACCUCCGCCGGUGCAACUUAAAACCAUUACCUCUCAUCCUAUCAAAAAGAAACCUCUAUCACCAGCAUUGGCUCAAGGUUUAUCAGCAGAGUAGGCGGAAUGUAAUUUCGCAGCCCAAGGAAUUUUUCUCCAUCCUCCAGCAGGCAAAAUUCAGCCAUGUGGCAGCAGGGUGGGUGCCUCCUGGGAUUCACUUUUCCUUUCCUACCAGGUCCACGAUACUGCACAGCAUGGGGGAAAGGCUGAGCCGACAGGGUGCUGGGAAUGAGGGCAGCUCACCCAUCCCAAGCCAAGACAGAGAGUCCCCUGUGCCAUGAGCUUCCACACCUGGACUUCAGGGGAGCAUGAGAUUCAUAGACGUGCCCCUCAUUUGUGCUCCAUGGUGAUGUGAGCGAGCUGAUGAUUUCCACUGAAGUCAAUAAGAAAUGUAGAGGGCAUCAACAAAAUCAUUAAGAAAUUUCUCUCAAUUAUAAUCUGCUUUCUUCAAAUAUAGCUGUUGCUGGAGCCUCCAACCAGAAUUAAUGAUAUGGAAAAUAUGAAGGGCGAUAAACAACGUGUUUGUGAGCUAGGGGGAUCUGAACAGUAAACAAAAAGUCAAACGUCCAAGGGGUUAAAUCUUUAAUAAACUGCAGCCCCAAAUUCAUUUGAUGUGCUCUUCUUCACGUCUUUGCAGCUGCACUCACUCGCUUCCUGGGCUUUUUCAAGUCAAACGCAUUUAACAAGACCAAGUUGCAAAGGAACUGUAACGGGUCUUUAACAGAGAAAUAGAUUGUAACCUUAUUCUUGCAUCUUAAAAGCAAUAACAUGAAUGAAAGAUUUUACAUUCCUCGCAGGUGCACAGUCUAUCCCGUAUUCAGCACAAAGCAUAUUGGUAUUCAAUAAUUUCUGUUUUGUUUUGGUUUUUAGAGUGAAUCAAGCAGGUACGUUUUGCAAUUGUUAGUACUGAGGGUAAUAAUAUACACACACAAGCAUCCACCCACAUGAGCACAGAGAGGUUAGUAGCAAUCUAAAAGUAUUUUGCAUGGCACAAAGAACACAGAAACAUUGUCAGCAGACUUGUUGGAAGACGGUAACGUUUAAUGGGAUGUUUGUGGUCUUGGGCGUGUGAGUGCAGGAUUUAAUCUCUGCUCAUCUGUCCAGCCCAGGCAAACACUGCAUUUACCUCUUUUAAAGUACUUUAUUGAGUGCUUUAGAAUGAAACGGGCUUCAGCUUCUGUAUGGCUUAAAUGAAGUAGCCAACAACAGAGAUGGAAAAAGGCACACUUACGAAGCCAUGAAAGAAACAAUGAGUUUUCUUAUGCCUGAUUCUGUGUCACAGGUGCAUUUCUGAUACUUCUGAACUUGCCAGGAGUGACUGAAAAUGCAGAAUUCUAAUCCCUCCAAGACUCAGAGACAAUCAAUCACUGAUGAAGGGGAAAUGCUGAAUUCCCAGCAUCUUGCCUUCUCCAAGAAAGCCUGUCGGCUGCGUAAUGCAAACUAAUCUGAUCCAAGAAUCAGCUUUUUUUUGCUUGUUGUUGUUUCUUGUCCUGGUUCACGUACAAACACAUAUCCAGAGGGAGAGAAAGAUGGAGAAAAAGAGAGAGAGAGAGACCACGUCCGCACAUCUCAGUGACUGCUGCUGAAAAUAGCUGAUACACGGCGCUGGGGCUGGAGCAAGGUGGGACUGCUCGGCUGUUCUCUCAUUGAAUGGCAGCCGAGAUCAGUCCAGAGCCAUCAGAAACAAAAUACUCCAUGGAAGAUGAAAACCAGGGCAUGCUUUUUUUUUACUGUCUGAGGCAGGGUGGGGGGGAGACAGCUAUAAACUGUAGCUGGGAGAAGCAGAUGGCAGUGUAUUAAGAGGACAGGGCACUGCUGCUGUUGCAGCCGCUGCCGCAACUGCCACAGCUCAGCUCUUUCCCAUCUGACAGAAGGGCCUCUGGGCAGCCAGGGCUGAGUCAGACUCACGUGUGUUGCACAGAUGUCUCUGGAGAACCCCCUCUUCCCCAUCCAUUUAUGUCACACCGCUUCAGGGUUUGAAGCAAGUUGCUCAGCUCCUACACGCUACGAGCACCCUGUCCCCCUCACUGCGUCUUUCCCAAGCAGCUGAGCCACGGUCAGCCCCCGUGAGCAUCCCAUAGACCACACAGGACUGAUCCCUGCAGUCUCCAAACAAGGGUGCCAUUAGCAUCUUCCAAGUGUCUCACUCGGUGUCCUGAACCUGUGCCCAGACGAGAGGAAGCAGUCAGUGAGGACACCUAAAACUCCAGGUUUCAUGCUGCCAAAUAGUCUGCGCUGGUUCUGGGAGACAUCGCAGCCACUGACCAAUGCUGGCCCCCAUCCAAGCAGACGGAGGGAGGAGAUAGCAUUUUAAAUUGGAGUUUGGUGUGAACACAUACCCAUACGCAGGAGAAACUGCCAGCUGCUUGCGAAAGGGGAACUAAGACAGAGAUGGCACCCUGGGUUGCUCUCUUUUACACAAGAUGUAGCUGUUGGUUUGAAGCAGCCGAGCGGUUUCCCAUCCUGAUAAGACUAUUUUAAGCUCCAUUCAGAGCAGUUGCGGAACAAGCUCUGCUGUUGAAGAAGAGAAGCAGCAAAUCCAUUUCACCUUCAUAGCUAACAGUUUCUCCUCCCGGGAAAGAGAUUUCUGGGAGGAGAAACAAGCAGAGCUUCCUCUGCCCUCAAGCUCACUCUGGGCCUCCAGCAGCAGGCUGCUGCCCCAACAUCUAUAGGGGAAGGGGCAUCCCUCUGGUGAGCUGCUCUGCCCCACCAACCAACAGGGCUGGAAGAGGGGAGAUGACCUGGAGGAGGAUUUAUCACACACCGUGCUCUGAUACCUUCUGGGAAAAAAACAGGGAUACUUAGCUGCUGUCAUGCAAACAUUUUAUGCAAAUCUUAUCUUUGUCUUUUGCAUACUGGUGUGUAAUUUGCAUCUGAUUAUCAACUUCGGGUCUAUUGUUUUAUUCUAAACAGAAUUGCUGCUGCUGAAAGGUUUUGGAUUGACAGCCCUGGUGAAUAAAGUCAUCUUUCUAACUAGGGAGCCCAAGAAAAACAGCUUUCCAUGCCAUUACUCCUAAACCAGGGCCAACAGUGAGGGUGCCAGCUCUUGGCCUCUUCUGAGCCUGCCAGCUAAUGAAAAGGACAGUUUUGAAUAUGGAAUCCAUGUGAACUUUAUACAAAGACAACCAAAAAUCCUUUAAAAAGCAUCAGCCAGUCUCUUGGGUUGGCUUCACAUUCAUUCUACACACACAGAAUGUCCCAGUACCUAGCGGGCUCUCAAGUCACACCCAAGGAUCACAAGAAGGUGUACACUGUGAGAUCUUCACACCCAAAAUGAAAGCCUUUGCCCUGUUGAACUAGAGAAGUGGAGUUUUUUGCUCUCCUUGGCACAUAUACAGGCACUGCCAGUCAGAUAUAUCCCUGCCUCCAGCAGCAACACAUGGGUCCUUUUUCUGAUUGCCAUAGAGGAUCUUGCCUUGUGUCAAGGCAAGGCAAAAAGACCUGCCAACAGUUGGAGCGGCUCAGCUCCACUGGAAUCAAUGGCUUGACUUAAUUUUACCCUGGCUAUGAGCUGGGCUCAUCUACACCAACAUUAGCAGAAGCUUCUUGGGAUGCCCUCUGUAGAAAUCAAUGAUGACCAAAGAUCAUAGUCUUUUAGUUCUGUAACCCGUGGGUCUCAUCAGUUGCCUCCUCUAAGUCUGGAAAGGUGGUUUUCUUCCACCUUGAGUAGGGACAAGGCCCUCCCAAGUGCUGAGGAAACACAGGGAACUAUUUACAGAAACUACAGGAUAGGAUGGGGAGUGAACUACCAAUAGAUUACCCCGACACGCGAGGCUGCUUCAGCCAAGCCAGAGGAUGAGUAUUAAUUAAUGUUAAUUCUGAUCCUUAGGUUUCAGCAGUCACAGCACUGAGUGAUAUGAGUAUGUCCACUUGACUUUGGGAUGGAUGGCUGCUCCAGCUUUAUUUGUCCUGUCGAUAAAUAUUCAGCCCCAGUAACAGCUGCUUCUGCAAGAGUGCCAGAUUAAGAAAAAUAAUGCAGGCUUAGUGCUCUUUACACGGAUUGCAUGGGCUGACCCAGCUGCAAUAUGCACACCCACAAAUCUUCUCAGAUCAUUACCUCAUUGAAUAUGGCUGUUCCUCCGUAAAGACAGGAGUUGGGUGAUACCUCGACAGAAUUUGAACAUGACAUGCUAAGUCAGAGCUGGAAAUUGCUGACGGAAAGCUCUGGGCCUGGCCUGGCAGGGAGGUGUGCCUCAUCAGAAAUGCACGCCUUGAAGAAGGACUCAAGGCAGCCCUGCUGGACAGGACCCUUGGCUUUGCAGAGAUGGGGGCAUAUAUUUGAAGGCAUCCCUCAUUAUUUCCGCACUUACUCUUUGUUCACAACCCAUCAGUAUUUCAUUUCCCUCCUUCACUGUGUGCCCAGCUCUGCAUUGAGAAGUCAGGAGUAUGAAUUGUGUAAAUAAAGUUUGUUGUUUUCCUUUGAAGUAUGCAGGAAAGCUUUGAAAACCCAAGUUCAGCUGUUCCCAAUAAUCUCAACUUUCUGCUCUAUUUCUCUGGUUAACCUUGCUGACUCAAAACAACAAAAAGCAUAGCCUGAAGGAAAUAGUGCUCACUGCUUUCUUAACUUUCCAAUGGCAUUUUACAGGAGAUAUUUCAUUUUUGUCAAGAUCUUUGAUGUCUGUUCCUCUCUUUUUGUGUGGAUUCCCAUUGAGAUUGAAUGGCUCUUACCAGCUUGCUUCCCCAGGCACAGGGUAGGAAGCAUGACUGCCUUCCCCGGGUCAUAAUAAGAGGGAAGAGGCAGUGAGGGGAUUGCUUAGAUGCCAGCAGUAAACAAGUCAACACAGAGAUGUGGUUGAUUUUCUUCCCAGAUCAUGGUGGGAGCAAGAUCUCUGACGUGCGCAUCCCAACCAGACAGCUGAGAUGAGUUUUAUUAGGCCACCACUCUGCUGGUCUAGUAAGGCUGAACAAAUCUCUCUUUCAUUUUGCUUUGCAGUCUGCUCAGGAGUUCACUCAAGCAAAUUUUCUUCACCCCCAACACUUGCUUUCCCUGACCCUGCAUUUACAAAUUAAUUGCCUGAAGAAUGAAGCAACAGGAACUUCACAUCAAGGCAGGCUCCUGACAAGCUUUGUUAAAAUAUCUGACUGUUCGAAAAGGGUAAAAUCUGCCAAGAGGCUCACUUGAGGGUAAAUAGACACCUUUCCUUAGGCCCUUACCACUACCACACUGUUAGGCCAGAGUGUACCUCCUCUCUUUUUUGGCCCAAAGGACUAUAGUUUACUUGUCAGUCUCGAACACUGUUCUCAGGAGAGUUAUCCAUAAGCUGGCCAGUGACUUGAGAGACUGCCAUCCCAUGCUUGCAAGAAACAGAUAUUGCUUGUGCUGAGAUAAAAGUCCCGAACAUGAAGAGCAUGAAGGAGAAGGGCAUUUGUCAUGCUAUUAUGCAUUUACCACAGCACCACAUUGUAUGGAGGGCUGAAAGUGGAAAAGACCCACAGCUGGGAUAUGUCUCUGCCAAGGUAUUGUUGAAAUCCUGUACCAUGGAUAAAGAAAUAGCAUUCAUCCUGAUAAAGUGAUCAGAAUACACUGACUAUGACUAUCAUUAAAUCGUGAGGAUUUAAUAUCACCACCCCCUGUCUAUCUCUCAUCUUUAAGGAAAUCACGUCAGUGGAAGAUGAGCUAAAAAACAUGUUCUGCCUCCAUAAGUCUCAGUCUCUACAGUCUAGACACUCCAAAUAAAGGGAGGGAGAAAGAACAGUAUAAACAGGCCCCUUGAACAUAAUUGAAGAACUAGACUAAUUUGGCUUGUCUUUAUAACAGGCCAGAGCUGGGCACUAGACUUACCCACAACAGAUAAAGAUGAGUAACUACAUAAUGAGGUUAAAAUAUUCAUUAAGCUAAUUGCAUGUUAAUUAAGUAAAGGAUGCUAUUAGGGAUCCAUUGAGCUCCAUCUGUGUGUGCAAACAGGAGUGAGAAUAAUCACACCAGAAAGCAGAAGAGACAGUGACAGCUCUGUGGUCCAGGAACAGGGAACUGGAGUGGCUGCCAGCAGGGGCUGCGCUGGGUGCUGGGGGGGCUGGCAGCCACCUGGAGGACUUUGGCUUUGUGAGAAGAGGGGGAGCUGGUAAGAAGAAGCUCUGGGUGUCGUGGCCAACAGUCACUUCAUGAAUGGUCAUUUCCCUACACUCUGUCUCCGUAUCCAGACAUGUAAAAGUGAAACUAUACCUCUCUCCCAAGUGAGAAAAUUCACAAGAAAACUCACAGAAGGGUCUUGCCAAGCUUAUUUUUGCAUCUGUAUCUGUUGAUUUUAUCAGAAUUACUUGCAGGGGCAAAGAUCCAUCACUCCAGAAAGCAAUGCAGCAUUCAAGCCAAUAGCCCGCAAGGCACUGGAAAGGUCCAUUUUUGAAAAUGGCCUAUGAGAAGACUAAAAAUAAGGAGGCAGAAAUCACUCUUCCAUUUAAACUUCCUCUGUCAGCACCACAGAGGACAGUUUCUAAUACACAGUUCCUCAAAAAAGGAGAAAAAAAUUCCAUUUGACAUAAUUAUGGCCAACAGUCCAUAAGGCAGAAUAGGGAAAAAAUGCCUACAUAUUUCAUGUUAAAAUUCAUCAAUAAUGGAAGACCAAGAUUAAAUUAUAUAACUGCCACCUUUAAGUUAAAUAACAUUUUCAGCAGAAGGAAGGGGAGAUGGGACAACUCCAUAGCCAACGCGUUUAUUUCAGCAUAUGAAUAAUUAAGGCAAAUAAUACAACAGCUUUUUAGAAGGGAGAAGAUUCAAUGAAGAGGUUAGGUUAGAAGGGACUUGCGCUGCAUUUGGAGAUUUGAAGGACUUGGAGAAUUAUUCAUACUCAAUCAUUUAUUUGAUUAAUUUCUCCUUUCUUUCAGGCCAUUAAUGCUCAGAUUGCUCUUUUUGCAAAUGCACUUACAGUCUGAAGUCACUGGAAUAAAUCUGGUCCAUGGCUCCCCUUCAGUGGCCACUUUCUUGCAAGUAGUCAUUGCACUAAAAGGAAACGGGUUUGGAUGGGGGUGUCAGCUCCCAGAGGGUUUCUGAUCUCAGAUCAGCUCCUCCAAUACCUUCUGCAAUGAAUCGAGCGUUUCCUCAUUCUCCUGCAAUAAUUGCUUAAAAUUUCUGCUUCCACAGGUAGACCUGCCAGCUCACCCGGCUCAUCCUACGUGGGCAGAAAGUAGGGGAGCGAAAAUAGAUGAAGCAGAGUCAUUAAAAAAUUUCAGAUCAUUAUUCAUGAAAAAUUAGUUAAUUGCACUAGCCUGUCCCCAGUGAAUCUGGCGCUGAUCCAGACCAACCUUCUGAUGAGUGGGAAGAAGAGCUACCUAAUUCAUUCAUAAUUCUGCGCUGAAACCUGACAGAUGAAGCUCUAUCCAGGGGCUGAUUAUUGUCAUGUGCAAAACAAAUAAUCCCCGUAGAUCCUACUAAGUGCCCAAACAUACGUGCUCUUCCCCACAGCCCCAGAGCUUCCCAGACACACUGACUCAUCGCAGAUGCUCAGAACUGGCACAGCCCAUCCCACAGGCUCCUAGAUUAAACAAGCUACAGAAGUAAACCAGAUUUCUCUGGUGAGAGGAGGGGGUGCUGAUCUUGGAAUGAGGAUGUCUGCAUAAGAGCACAGCUUGGAUGCCCAGAAGCCAUUCCUGCCACUGAUUGAGAAGGAAGCCUUGAUUGUCAUUGUUUUAUGGCUGUUAGAGGCCCGUGCCUAAUGACUUUUUUUUCUGGGGUGCCUGCCCAUUCCCAGGUAGGUGAAUGCCUAUGGAAUGAAAACAGAAGCUGUGCUUGGUGCUGGAGUGUCUGCCAAGCUGGGGAUCUGAGCAGGCAGCCUAAGGGCUCAGCUCAGCCUCCACGGCCAGCUUUAUGCUCCAUAUCUCGAGAAGGCUGUUGGGCAGCAGAAGGGACAAUCAGCAAAGACAACACAACUGCAAAGUACUUCUGCUCUGUCUGCAGCAGGAACAAGAGAAGAAUGCCUGGAGUGUAAUUAAUUCUGCACUAUUUUCUCCUCAUUCAAAGGAGGAGAAAUAUUUUUUAUUAAAAACAAUAAAAACUUCUGAAAAUAUUUA
Molecule: RNA transcript, 8380 nt
Organism: Gallus gallus (chicken)
Lineage: Eukaryota; Metazoa; Chordata; Aves; Galliformes; Phasianidae
Gene name: translation initiation factor IF-2-like
Exons: 2
Source: RefSeq, a predicted model, not a curated record